UUGGCUGGCAGCUUGAGAGGGGUUCACCAUUGGUUAGAAGGGCCAUCAGGACGAAGGGGGGGGAAUCGCGGUCUGUGAUUGGCUAGACCCUCUGCGGGUGGGCGGGGUCUGGCGAGGUCCGGCCGGCUGGCUUCGGAGCGGCGCCGCAGCCCUCACUUCCCUCAGAGCCGCCGGUUCGAGUCCCGCGUCCGCGCCCCCGCCUGGCUGAGCUUAGACAAGAAGCCUGGCCUGGCCAGUAGCCAGCCACUGGUCUGGGAGUCCUGGGAAGUACGAGGGACGAGAGAAAAAUCCUUUUCCUGCUGCAGGUGUGUCUGCAUUUAGCUCCCAGAAGACAAGGAAACUGAGAUAUUAGUGCUCGCUUUCACCUCGCUUGCUAGAUUUGGCUGUUGAUUUAUGGAGGGGAAGCUGACUGCUAUUUAAUGUAUUACCCAGGGACUGAGUUGAAACAAUAGGAUAACUGCAAUUCAGGAAUAUCCUGGCCAAAUGAAGCCCAUCAGAGAAGAUUUAGCAAUUCCUGUUUUGUCUAUUGUUUUAGAAAGGUUUUCCUGAUGGGGGAAUGAAUGUGUUAGUGGGUGGAAGGACUGCCUUAGCAUUUUGUGAUGGGAUUUUUGUUUCUAAUAACGGCAUUUAUUAUUUAUGUA
RNAcentral lists this long non-coding RNA (641 nucleotides) under Calidris pygmaea (Spoon-billed sandpiper). RNAcentral's name for it is "lncRNA (ENSCPGG00000001185.1)". The record is from RNAcentral. Lineage: Eukaryota; Metazoa; Chordata; Aves; Charadriiformes; Scolopacidae.